CACAGCUUUAGUCGCAGCAGGCCAGCGCUGUCCUCCAUACCUUCCCCAUUCUCCUCCUCUUGCAGAAUAAUGCAGGUGUCACUUGGAUGCUGAGCAGAGAUAGUAUCAGGCCCGGCAGAGGCUUAGCUGCCCUGGUGGUGGCGGUGGCUGCGGAAGCUCAGGCUGAAGGAUGGCAACCGGCUUGUUCUGCGAUCAGUUCUCCGUCUGGAUGGCUCUGUGCAACGACUCCUGGUGGCUUCAAAGCCUCCUUUGUUUACAAAAGGAUGAUGAUGUGGGGUGUCCAGGGAGACAGACUGGAAGAGAACAAAGUGAGACAUGUUUUACUGAAGACGCUAACCAGAGUCAAGACACUCUCACAAACAAAAGCCUGCGAUGAAUUUCGUGGAUGGCUGUUCCGUCAGUGUGAGUCGGGUAAUUGGCCAGUGGGAAUGUUAGCAAGGACGGCGGACGGUAGACUUCUUUAUCUGUCUCUACGAGGAAGAGAUUACAAAGAAAGUCCAUGAUGAGGAGGAAGUUUAUUGAGUCGGGGAUGGGUUAACUCAGUCUGUCAGGAGCCUGAUGAGGGUCAGCGCCCGGCUCCUGGCUGCUCGGGAGAGGCGGCUCGACGUCACCGCCGUUUGACUAUUCUCUGUGCCACGACCGCAGAAUUUCCGUGACUGUUACUCUUGACAGUCAUUCCACAGCCGUCAGAACACAGAAUGCUGAGGACAGAUCCUGACGGGUCAGGGCAGGCCCACCCUGUGGCCUAGCUCUGCCACUUCUUGGUUAUGAAACUUUGGGCAAGUUACUUAAUUUCUCUUAGCCUCGGUUUCCUCCUCUGAUAAUAAUAGUUACCCAAUAAGAAUGCAGAUAUGAUAGCUGGAGUUCCAGCAGCUACCUUGAGCAAUGAGGCAGCUUUGAGGAUGGAAGCCUUUAGCUGAGGAAGGUUGAGCCCAAAGAUAGAAGACAACCAGCUUACUGAUGACUAUGGAGCCUCCACACCAGCCAGGGGUUGCCUGUCUUGGGACUUCUAUGGGAAAGAAAAAUACACGUGAGUGUACAUUGAGUAUCACAUUCCGAGAAUUAAAUCAGAUGAAGAGCUAAGCCCUCGUUCCAACACUGUGAAGAGGCCAGGGGAAAAACGGGACCCGACAGGCCAUCUGCACUAAAUGCUCCCAACAAAUCUGCACAAGUUGCCUGUAAAACUGUGGUCAGCGGCAGCCGCCUGGAAGGGAGGCUCUCUUGACCUUGGGGCCGUCUCUCAGCAUUUACCUUGGGGCAAAUGAAAACUGAAGCACCAUCUGCAUUUUUGCUCAGCUCGCUCUAAGCCCGUGGAUGAUCACCAUGCUGCGUGAAUUUUGGAAGCAGCCUGUGAAAUUUGGCUGCCGUCACAUGGCCAAGUUUGAGAGGGGUGGCUGGGCCCGGUCCAGUGCUAAUCACUCCAGCUGUGGUUAUAAAUCACUGCGAGGUUGCGAGAGAGCCUCUCUCAGAGGCUGGCUACUUGAAACCCUUUUUCUGCUUGGAGACGGCAGAGAAACAGAGACCAGUAGCUGAACCUGUCCUGUGCAGAGCAGGGCGCCAGCAUCAGGCCUUCCCUCUCCACUCCAGGCUCAGGCCUCAUCCUUCUCUCCCUUCUUUCCUUUCAGUGUGUCUUUCUGUGUUCCCUCCCUGUGAC
RNAcentral lists this long non-coding RNA (1654 nucleotides) under Equus caballus (horse). RNAcentral describes it as "lncRNA (ENSECAG00000056133.1)". The record is from RNAcentral. Lineage: Eukaryota; Metazoa; Chordata; Mammalia; Perissodactyla; Equidae.